CUGGAGAGUGGCGCACGGGUGAGUAACGCGUGGGGACCUACCUCUUAGUGGGGGAUAACGGUUGGAAACGACCGCUAAUACCGCAUACGCCCUUCGGGGGAAAGAUUUAUCGCUAAGAGAUGGACCCGCGUUGGAUUAGAUAGUUGGUGAGGUAACGGCUCACCAAGUCAGCGAUCCAUAGCUGGUUUGAGAGGAUGAUCAGCCACACUGGGACUGAGACACGGCCCAGACUCCUACGGGAGGCAGCAGUGGGGAAUAUUGGACAAUGGGGGCAACCCUGAUCCAGCCAUGCCGCGUGAGUGAAGAAGGCCUUCGGGUUGUAAAGCUCUUUCAGAUGCGAAGAUGAUGACGGUAACAUCAGAAGAAGCCCCGGCUAAUUUCGUGCCAGCAGCCGCGGUAAUACGAAAGGGGCUAGCGUUGUUCGGAUUUACUGGGCGUAAAGGGCACGCAGGCGGUCUUGCCAGUCA
Molecule: ribosomal RNA, 467 nt
Filed under: marine sediment bacterium BB0608_AND_2.1_11S0
Lineage: Bacteria
Description: bacterial SSU rRNA
Rfam family: Bacterial small subunit ribosomal RNA
Source: RNAcentral